GACGAACGCUGGCGGCGUGCUUAACACAUGCAAGUCGAACGGAAAGGCCCUGCUUUUGUGGGGUGCUCGAGUGGCGAACGGGUGAGUAACACGUGAGUAACCUGCCCUUGACUUUGGGAUAACUUCAGGAAACUGGGGCUAAUACCGGAUAGGAGCUCCUGCUGCAUGGUGGGGGUUGGAAAGUUUCGGCGGUUGGGGAUGGACUCGCGGCUUAUCAGCUUGUUGGUGGGGUAGUGGCUUACCAAGGCUUUGACGGGUAGCCGGCCUGAGAGGGUGACCGGCCACAUUGGGCCUGCGAUACGGCCCAGACUCCUACGGGGGGCAGCAGUGGGGAAUAUUGCACAGUGGGCGGAAGCCUGAUGCAGCAACGCCGCGUGCGGGAUGACGGCCUUCGGGUUGUAAACCGCUUUCGCCUGUGACGAAGCGUGAGUGACGGUAAUGGGUAAAGAAGCACCGGCUAACUACGUG
Molecule: ribosomal RNA, 468 nt
Filed under: uncultured bacterium
Lineage: Bacteria
Description: partial 16S ribosomal RNA
Rfam family: Bacterial small subunit ribosomal RNA
Source: RNAcentral